AAGACCUUACUUCAUAUGAUCAUUUCUAUAGUAAGUUCUUCAUCCAGAAAUUCGCAAUAUGUAAAGGCGCACAAACCGUGAUGAGAUGUUGCGCGGUACUCUGAGCAUGUGAUGAGCGGU
This is a small nucleolar RNA of Galleria mellonella (greater wax moth), 120 nucleotides long. RefSeq annotates it as small nucleolar RNA U3. The record is from RefSeq and is a predicted model, not a curated record. NCBI's taxonomy places the organism in Eukaryota, Metazoa, Arthropoda, Insecta, Lepidoptera, Pyralidae. The transcript has a single exon.